GGGGUUGUGGCUCAGUGGUAGAGUGCUUGCCUGACAUGUAUGAGGUCCUGGGUUUGAUCCCCAACACCACA
Molecule: transfer RNA, 71 nt
Filed under: Marmota monax (woodchuck)
Lineage: Eukaryota; Metazoa; Chordata; Mammalia; Rodentia; Sciuridae
Description: tRNA.Val
Rfam family: tRNA
About the family: Transfer RNA (tRNA) molecules are approximately 80 nucleotides in length. Their secondary structure includes four short double-helical elements and three loops (D, anti-codon, and T loops).
Source: RNAcentral